Molecule: ribosomal RNA, 250 nt
Filed under: uncultured bacterium
Lineage: Bacteria
Description: partial 16S ribosomal RNA
Rfam family: Bacterial small subunit ribosomal RNA
Source: RNAcentral
UACGUAGGGUGCGAGCGUUAAUCGGAAUUACUGGGCGUAAAGCGUGCGCAGGCGGUUCGUUAAGUUCGUUGUGAAAGCCCCGGGCUCAACCUGGGAAUGGCAAUGGAAACUGGCGGACUGGAGUGCGGCAGAGGGGGGUGGAAUUCCGCGUGUAGCAGUGAAAUGCGUAGAGAUGCGGAGGAACACCGAUGGCGAAGGCAGCCCCCUGGGCCGACACUGACGCUCAGGCACGAAAGCGUGGGGAGCAAAC